AGGGGGGGCGGAACGGGCAGGCAGACGCUCAGUGACGAAACAAACGGGAAACGACGGAGGGCGGCGCAUGCGCACAGCCGGCUGGACUGUUGCAGGAGCGGAGAGAGAAUUCCGAAGCUCCAGUGGCCGGGAGGCUGAGGGAGGCUGCCUUGGUAGGAGGGUUGGUUCCGCUCGCUUUUCUGAGCGGAAAUGACAGCUGCCCAUGUGCGGCGCAGGCAUCGAGGGUUGGGGCCGGGCAGAGUAAGCGGGAAAGGAGAGGCUGAAGGGAAAGGAGCUGCUCAGUUUUCCUCGUAGUCCGACUGAAGUCCGCUGCUAAGUGGUCUGAAGUUCACUGAGGAUCCCAGGGAAGAGUUUAGCUAGCAGCCACCGUAAAGAGACGGGCUGCGGGCUGCUUGGGUCUGCAGAAAGGAUGCGUUUCCCCGAAGUGCGAAGCAGUUACGUGGCCUUGGUGAAUCUAGUCAUUAUGUCUUAUAAGUCGAGGGCGAUCACUUGUCGCCAAGCCAGUUUCCGGCAAAAAAUGCUUAUAGGAAUGGAUUCGCUUAAGGACCAUGACGUUCACUUAAUGAUUGCCCCGGAAAAAGUCAUAAUAUUGGGCCAGUCACAUGGAUGCCAAUUUCCACUACUUACAAUGAAAUUUCGGGACUCCAUUAUGCUCACAAGUUGAGGACUAUUUAUAUUAUACUGGAAUGGCUGUUUAGAGGUCUGAUAAGAACAAAAUGCUGGAAUCUACACUUUGAAAGCUCAUUUAAAAGAGAUGUAACAAUUUAACAGAAUAACAGAGUUGGAAGGGACCUUGGAGGUCUUCUAGUCCAACCCCCUGCUCAGGCAGGAAGCUCUACACCAUUUCAGACAAAUGGUUGUCCAAUCUCUUGUUAAAAACUUCCAUUGUUAGAGCAUUCAUAACUUCUGGAGGCAAGUUGUUCCACUGAUUAAUUGUUCUGUCAGGAAAUUUGUCCUUAGUUCUAGGUUGCUUCUCUCCUUGAUUUAAUAGCUAAUUAGAUGUAUCCUUCUACCCAAUCCAGGAACUGUAAAACCAGUUAUAUCAAGAUGUUACUGUCCAGAUCAUGAUUUUAAUUUGAAGGUUUUGAGGCAGUUCUGCAGACUUUUAAAGCUGAUUUUAUUAGAGAGUACACAAGCAACAAUUUAUUUUGAAAACCUACAUUCAGAGAAUGUGGAGGGUAAUUUGUAAAAACUUCAAUAUUGAAGAUAAUAUAUGAAAUAUUCAAUAAAUACACUAUUGAAGAUAUGGAAUAGGUUAAAUCCCAAAACAUGUUAUCACACAUCCAGUAACGCAGUGGAGAGAGAUCUGUUUUGAGGAUCACAUUCAGAUUUAUGUAAUGUUUGAAGAUCACAAGUCUUAACAUGGUUGAACAAAAAGUAGAUUAGAGGGCAGAAUAUUAAAAUGGCAGAAUUUAAAUUCAUAUGUAACGUUAUAAAUAAAAUAUGCUAUCUGCUGUAGCCAAACAGAUGCUUUUAAGAGGACUACGAUAAGGGCAUGAAAUUAUCCAGGAUGGCAUAUAUUUAAAAUUUGGGAAUGAAUUUUAAAUCAAAUUCAAUUCUAAAAAUAUUUUAAAUUUAUUUUCUCAACUAUACCUUUUUCAUCUUUUCAAAUGCCCAAAAUAACCAAAAGAAAUGUUGAUUACACAUACUUUAGAAUAUUCUAUCUUUAAUUUUAAGAGGAUCAAAUGGGCAACUGUAGCUAAAAUAUACCUAGGAACACAUACUGUUUGUUACUAUUACCUAUUUUAUCCCUUGUUGAUACACUUCCCAGAAAUUUUGGUUACUGUAGUAAAUUGGGUUAAAUGCAUGACUUUAUAGUAGCAGACUAAGUGUUUUAUACAUAUCUUUCCAAGUGCAGAAUUUGGAGUUCUAGAAUAUUUGCCAAUAGCACAAACUGAAUUCAUAUGUAUAUCUGUAACUAGCUGUUGGAAAAAAAUUUCCUACAAGGCUGAAAAAGGACACUUCCCUGAGGAAUAUUAAAAUUAAUAGGGAAGUUUUUCUAACAUUAGUAUAUUAUGAAGAAUGCACAUUCUUUAAAUCUCUUGAGACUAUAAAGCCUAUAUAACAAAAUAGAGCAAAUCACUUUUUCACUUAUUUGCCUUGGUAUAGUUAAAUAUACGAAAUGUAACAACAGAAUCUCAGAAAGUUAUUUCCACUCCCUCCCACAACAAAAUGCAAGGAC
Pantherophis guttatus is the source of this 2182-nucleotide long non-coding RNA. RefSeq lists it as uncharacterized. NCBI's taxonomy places the organism in Eukaryota, Metazoa, Chordata, Lepidosauria, Squamata, Colubridae. The record is from RefSeq and is a predicted model, not a curated record.